Molecule: unclassified non-coding RNA, 345 nt
Filed under: soil metagenome
Description: partial contains 5.8S ribosomal RNA, internal transcribed spacer 2, and large subunit ribosomal RNA
Rfam family: 5.8S ribosomal RNA (bases 1-119)
Source: RNAcentral
GAUGAAGAACGUAGCGAAAUGCGAUACGUAAUGUGAAUUGCAAAUUCAGUGAAUCAUCGAGUCUUUGAACGCACAUUGCGCCCCCUGGUAUUCCGGGGGGCAUGCCUGUCCGAGCGUCAUUGCUGCCCUCAAGCACGGCUUGUGUGUUGGGCCCCGUCCUCCGAUCCCGGGGGACGGGCCCGAAAGGCAGCGGCGGCACCGCGUCCGGUCCUCGCGCGUAUGGGGCUUUGUCACCCGCUCUGUAGGCCCGGCCGGCGCUUGCCGAUCAACCCAAAUUUUUAUCCAGGUUGACCUCGGAUCAGGUAGGGAUACCCGCUGAACUUAAGCAUAUCAAUAAGCGGAGGA